RNAcentral lists this ribosomal RNA (401 nucleotides) under Paracotalpa ursina. RNAcentral describes it as "partial small subunit ribosomal RNA". The record is from RNAcentral. Lineage: Eukaryota; Metazoa; Arthropoda; Insecta; Coleoptera; Scarabaeidae.
CCCUAUNAUUGAAAANGUAAAUAUAAAUGCUUGAGUAUUAGUAGUUAUGUUCUUGAAAUUUAAAGGAUUUGGCGGUAUUAUAGUCUAUUCAGAGGAACCUGUCCUAUAAUUGAUGAUCCACGAUUAAUCUGACUUGCUUUAAAGGUUUGUAUAUCGUCGUAGGUUGAAUGUUUUGUAAGGAGAAGGAAUGUUCAAGAUAUUAGGUUAAAGAGAAAAUCANAUCAAGAUACAGCGUAUAGGUAAGGAGAGAUGGGUUACAAUAAAUUUAUUUAUAUGGUUAAAGUAGCUAACACUAUUUUUUAAAGUGGAUUUGAUUGUAAUAUAGUUUAGUUAGACUAUAUGACUGAAGCUCUAUAAUAUGCACAUAUCGCCCGUCGCUCCUGCUCUAAAGCANGAUAAGU